AUAUCAGUCAUGCAUAGCAUAUCAAUAAGCGGAGGAAAAGAAACUAACAAGGAUUCCCUUAGUAACGGCGAGUGAAGCGGGAAGAGCUCAAAUUUGAAAUCUUCAAGGUUCUACCUUGACGAAUUGUAGUUUAUAGAAGUGUUUUCUGUUAGUAGAGUGGCAAAAGUUCUUUGGAAUAGGACAUCAUAGAGGGUGAGAAUCCCGUAUUUGGUCAUUCCUUCUAGCGUUGUGAUACACUUUCAACGAGUCGGAUUGUUUGGGAAUGCAGUCCAAAAUGGGUGGUAAAUCUCAGUCUAAAGCUAAAUAUUGGCGAGAGACCGAUAGCGAACAAGUACCGUGAGGGAAAGAUGAAAAGAACUUUGAAAAGAGAGUUAAACAGUACGUGAAAUUGUCAAAAGGGAAGCGUUUGACACCAGUGUUGUUUUUCCGAAAAUCAAUUACGAAUGUUUUAUUUUUGAGGAGUUAUGACUUCAUCGGCUUGCUCCUUUCUUUAUGAAACUUUCUUAAUGCACUUUUCGGUUAACAAGUCAACAUCAAUUUCUUUUGUUGUAAAAGGGUAUGAGGAAGGUGGCUUUCUUUUCGGAGAAAGUGUUUAUAGCCUUGUGCCUCUGCAAUCGGAGAGAUUGAGGUCUGCAGCGUAGAUCCUUCGGGGUUAGAUACGUUUGUGCUAAGUUAUAGCUUUUCAUAGGCAACUUGUUGACUAUGUUUAGUCUUGUAGCUUACUCGCUGACGCUAUUUUACCUACGCUUAGGAUGUUGAUCUCUCACAGUCGAGC
This 775-nucleotide ribosomal RNA is filed under the name uncultured Neocallimastigales. RNAcentral describes it as "partial large subunit ribosomal RNA". It matches the Rfam family "Eukaryotic large subunit ribosomal RNA", at positions 22 to 645 of the family's 3401-position model. Lineage: Eukaryota; Fungi; Neocallimastigomycota; Neocallimastigomycetes; Neocallimastigales. The record is from RNAcentral.